CAGAGGGUAGUUUAUAUAAAAUUUUAAUUUUGGGAAUUAGUGAUGGGUUAUCUCCCUCCUCUGA
Molecule: transfer RNA, 64 nt
Filed under: Anaplecta sp. 7 ZQW-2020
Lineage: Eukaryota; Metazoa; Arthropoda; Insecta; Blattodea; Anaplectidae
Description: tRNA-Pro
Source: RNAcentral